UACGUAGGGUGCGAGCGUUGUCCGGAAUUACUGGGCGUAAAGAGCUCGUAGGUGGUUUGUCGCGUUGUUCGUGAAAACUCACAGCUCAACUGUGGGCGUGCGGGCGAUACGGGCAGACUGGAGUACUGCAGGGGAGACUGGAAUUCCUGGUGUAGCGGUGGAAUGCGCAGAUAUCAGGAAGAACACCCGUGGCGAAGGCGGCUCUCUGGAACGCAACUGACGCUGAGACGCGAAAGCGUGGGGAGCAAACAGG
This 253-nucleotide ribosomal RNA is filed under the name uncultured bacterium. RNAcentral's name for it is "partial 16S ribosomal RNA". It matches the Rfam family "Bacterial small subunit ribosomal RNA", at positions 524 to 776 of the family's 1533-position model. The record is from RNAcentral.